AUCUUUCUAGUAUAAAUUAGUAUAAAUGACUUCCAAUCAUUAAGUCUUGGUUAAAUCCCAGGGAAAGAUA
This 70-nucleotide transfer RNA is filed under the name Sundadanio axelrodi 'red'. RNAcentral's name for it is "tRNA-Gly". It matches the Rfam family "tRNA". From Rfam's summary of the family: Transfer RNA (tRNA) molecules are approximately 80 nucleotides in length. The record is from RNAcentral. Lineage: Eukaryota; Metazoa; Chordata; Actinopteri; Cypriniformes; Sundadanionidae.